This is a long non-coding RNA of Camelus dromedarius (Arabian camel), 1163 nucleotides long. RefSeq lists it as uncharacterized. The record is from RefSeq and is a predicted model, not a curated record. NCBI's taxonomy places the organism in Eukaryota, Metazoa, Chordata, Mammalia, Artiodactyla, Camelidae. The transcript is spliced from 2 exons.
ACCUGCGCAGCUUCUCUGUGACCUUCUCCAGCUCCUCCUGCGCGCGGCGCAGCUCGAUCUCCAGGGGAGUUGACGCAGACACGGGAUGGACGUCUGGGGACAGAUGCGGAGACACCGAGGAGCCGGGGAGACAACAGGUGUGUUACCUGUCCCAGAGCGAGGGCGAGGACCUGGCCAGCCGGCCCUGCAGGACGCGGGGCUGCCCAAGGCACGAGGGCACCCAAGGGCUGCGCAGCCUGUGGGCGGAGAGGACAGAGCUGCUCAGAGCGGGGACCUGGGCUGCGCUGGGCCCGCCAGGGCAUGUGGUCUCGGAGAGCUGGGGGGUCGCCCCCCCUGGUGGGAGAAGUCCCUGUUAUCGGGGGGUGGGGGUGGGAGUGUAGGAAGCAGGGAGGGGCUCCCAGCCGUGCACCUGCCUGAGCUCACCGGUGGCACCGAGUCCCACCAGUGGAAGGGUCCCCACCUACAGGCCUUCACCCGUCAUCUCGGCCUCAGAAGGGAGUCCUGGUGGGCAGGCACCCCCCAGCUCCAGACCCCUGCUGUCUGGCUACCGUUCCUUUCUUGCGGGACCCAUUGGUCAGAGAGCCUGGGAGGUGGAUGGAGGGACAGUGUGAUCCUAGCCCCAACCUCUGUAGGAAGGUUGUGAUGUGCUGAUGUGUGUGGACAGUUGGUGGGGUGUCCUGGAGGCUGUGGGACCUAGUGGAUGUUAGGGGUCCAGGACAGGACCCGUCCUGCGACCCCUUCUCACCAGUUCUGCUCAUGGCCUGUCUGCACUGGGCGGUGGGUGGGACGGACGGGUGUGGCCCGACCCAGCCCCACAGCGCUGCCCUGCUGAGGGGCAAAGAGAUAUACAUCAGCACUGUAGCCACGCGUCCGCUUGGUCAUCACCCCUCCCUGGGGUCUCUCCAGGGACACUCCCAGUGGCCUUGCUGGCCCUGGAGCCAAAGCGGAAAUCUGAUGGGAGGAUGCUGCCCCAGACGUCAGGCUUCCAGAGAACACCUAGCGAGCGACACGGUCGAGCGUGUGUGUGAAGAGGAAGAGCAGCACAACCCCACUUACAAAAUAACUGCAUAGCGAUGGCCCCGCAAAACCACGGAAGGAAAAGAAAUGUUCAUGUUAUUACGGGUGGGUGGUGAGAUUCUAGGCAAUUAAAAUGUUUUCUUUUA